This is a non-coding RNA of Pelobates cultripes (western spadefoot toad), 240 nucleotides long. The record is from the annotation of a GenBank genome assembly. NCBI's taxonomy places the organism in Eukaryota, Metazoa, Chordata, Amphibia, Anura, Pelobatidae.
CCUCACCAAAACCAACAUUACAGAUUCCUAUACAAGAAAAACUCUCUACAAUAGUAUAUGGUUUCUCAGUGGACUGUCUCUAAAUCCUCUGUUCUGUUAAACCUAUCUGGUAGAUAUAAUGAUAAACUAUAUAAAUUGAUGACAUAGGCUUGGGGGAUUAGCCAUUAUUAAUAGAAAUCUCGUGUUUUAACUAUUUCAGGCUGUGAGGAGUGAACAACAUACUAGUAGAUUGUAAAAAAG